AGCAGCCGCGGUAAUUCCAGCUCCAAUAGCGUAUAUUAAAGUUGUUGCGGUUAAAAAGCUCGUAGUUGAAUUUCGGGAUCAAUAUGUCGGUCGUGCCUUCGGUACGUACUGGUAUCAUUGGUUUCUCCUUUCUGACGAACCAUGAUGUCAUUAAUUUGGUGUUAUGGGGAGUUAGGACUGUUACUUUGAAAAAAUUAGAGUGUUUAAAGCAGGCAUUAGCUUGAAUACAUUAGCAUGGAAUAAUGAAAUAGGACGUUCGAUCCUAUUUUGUUGGUUUCUAGGAUCAACGUAAUGAUUAAUAGGGAUAGUUGGGGGCAUUAGUAUUCAAUUGUCAGAGGUGAAAUUCUUGGAUUUAUUGAAGACUAACUACUACGAAAGCAUUUGCCAAGGAUGUUUCAUUAAUCAAGA
Molecule: ribosomal RNA, 408 nt
Filed under: uncultured Glomeromycotina
Lineage: Eukaryota; Fungi; Glomeromycota
Description: SSU rRNA
Rfam family: Eukaryotic small subunit ribosomal RNA
Source: RNAcentral